UUUUCCCCCCGCGUGAGGGAUAGCAGCAGCAUCCUUUUGUGGAGUGCAACGGAGCAAAAGAUAUAGCGGAUAGCCCGACCCCGG
Molecule: small RNA, 84 nt
Filed under: Niabella soli DSM 19437
Lineage: Bacteria; Pseudomonadati; Bacteroidota; Chitinophagia; Chitinophagales; Chitinophagaceae
Description: Flavo-1 RNA
Rfam family: Flavo-1 RNA
Source: Rfam by way of RNAcentral